RNAcentral lists this ribosomal RNA (491 nucleotides) under uncultured bacterium. Its description in RNAcentral is "partial 16S ribosomal RNA". It matches the Rfam family "Bacterial small subunit ribosomal RNA", at positions 28 to 507 of the family's 1533-position model. The record is from RNAcentral.
GAUGAACGCUGGCUACAGGCUUAACACAUGCAAGUCGAGGGGAAACGACGGGGAAGCUUGCUUCCCCGGGCGUCGACCGGCGCACGGGUGAGUAACGCGUAUCCAACCUGCCUCUGACUGAGGGAUAACCCGUCGAAAGUCGGCCUAAUACCUCAUGGCAUCGUCUGCGGGCAUCCAACGACGACUAAAGAUUUCAUCGGUCAGGGAUGGGGAUGCGUCUGAUUAGCUUGUUGGCGGGGUAACGGCCCACCAAGGCUACGAUCAGUAGGGGUUCUGAGAGGAAGGUCCCCCACAUUGGAACUGAGACACGGUCCAAACUCCUACGGGAGGCAGCAGUGAGGAAUAUUGGUCAAUGGGCGGGAGCCUGAACCAGCCAAGUAGCGUGCAGGAUGACGGCCCUAUGGGUUGUAAACUGCUUUUAGGCGGGGAUAAAGUGAGGGACGUGUCCUUCAUUGCAGGUACCGCAUGAAUAAGGACCGGCUAAUUCCGUG